Molecule: long non-coding RNA, 515 nt
Filed under: Marmota monax (woodchuck)
Lineage: Eukaryota; Metazoa; Chordata; Mammalia; Rodentia; Sciuridae
Source: RNAcentral
GAGGCUGACUGCGAACGUUCCCAGUUUUCUCUGAUUGGAUCCUGGAAGUCACGUGAGGGCCCGGGGAUUGGAAUUCUGAGUUGUGGCUUUUGGCACUCCUUUUUCUUUUUAAAAAUCGCUUGGUCUGUUGAGCUCUCCUGGGCUUGGUGCCUUUAGACCGAGGCUGGGGACAGUUGCAAACAGCCACAGGCAGACUGAGGUGGCAAUAGAAAAUCUGCCGAGAUGUUCAGUCAGGUGCCCAGGACCCCAGCUUCAGGCUGUUACUAUCUAAAUUCCAUGACACCUGAGGGCCAGGAGAUGUACUUGCGAUUUGAUCAGACUACAAGACGCUCUCCUUACAGGAUGAGCCGGAUUCUAGCACGCCAUCAGCUAGUGACUAAAAUUCAACAAGGUGAGUUGCCGGCAGUGAAAGGCUGUUGCUAAUUCUGAUUUCUGUUGGCUCUGUUUCACGCUAACCCAGUUUUUUGAGUUAUUGUUUUCACUUUACAAUGUAUGGAUUUCUAUGCCAUGUUGCA